AUUAUUUUCAACCAACAACGAAACGUAUUGAUGAUUCAAAGUAUUCCGACCCUCUACAGAAUAAGCUUUCAGUCGCAACACCUAUAGACCGUCCAACACCCAGGUUUUCCUCGACUCAGCCUCCUUGAACACCCGGGCAAAUCACGCUACAAAUCCUUCCAACGCCACCUGUGCUUGAAGACCACAAAAAGAACACCUUUCGGCGUCGCCUUCAUCAGCAACAUUAGAUCCUCAGCCUGUCUCAAACUCUUCAAAAUAAAGAUCUCCAUGCCGAUAGAUUCUGAGAUGCGGAACUCCACCUGGCUUGGUUUAGGAAUUUCAUCGAACGUUUGGUGUUUCACAAGGAUAACGGCAUUCUUGAUUUUCUCUGUGAUCUCUACCUUCUCAAAACCUAGAUGUAGCUUCUUAAACUUUAUGGACUCGAUCACAGGAAAUGGAGCUAAAACCGCCGCAUCAUACUCAGGAGUCGGAUGUACCUUCUUCAACUCCAUUGACUCGAUCCUGGAUACGGAUCUAAAGUCUCAUCGUUGCGGACGCCGUUCUGGCUAAUAUCCUUGAAGAUUUCUAUUGUUUGAUCAUCGUUGCUUCCAAGGGAAGAGUACAACAGCAAGUAUGCUGGCUUAUGUUUUAAAAGCAAUGGACGAUGAUCUUACAGCUGUAGUUGGAGCAUAUGUGCCACAGGUAUCAUUUUUCCAGAAGGAAAUAUUAUCUCAGGUUGUGGUCAAAAUUUUGUGCUGGAGGCUGAUGAAUAUGGUGGUUGUUUUUUGGGAUUAUCAACUUACAUAGCUGAUUAGCUGUGGUUACUAAUCUGGAUUGGGAGCACGUUGAUACCUUUCAAGAUGAGGAGGUUGUUAAAUCUACUUUCAGGAGGUUCCUGAAACUAAUCAAGAUGGGUGGACAUCUAAAAUAUCUGGAGACAGGCGUUUUGAGAUGGUUGGUACAAUUUAUGGAUGCCAUAUAUAUGAUGAUUAUGCACACCAUCCAACAGAAAUUCGUGCACUUCUUCAAGCAGCACGUCAAAGGUUCCCAUUUAAGGCUCUUUUAGUCGUAUUUCAACCUCAUACUUACAGUCGUCUAGCAGCAUUGAAAGAUGGAUUUGCCAUUGCACUCAGUGAUCCAGAUCAAGUUGUGGUUACAGCGAUACAUGCAUCUAAGUCCCUUAUCUUUGUUGUUUACAAAUAUUAGGGCAACUAACAUUUUUAUUUACGGUCAAGUUUAUCCUGCCAGAGAGACAAAUGUUUUGAAUGUGAUAUUACUACUGUAGGCCCCAAAGUGUUCCACAAAUUGCAACAGAAAUCACUAGCAAACUUGUAAGGUUCCAUGUGGCAGCUGCUUGUGCAUACUUGAAUAUGAGAAUUUCAGACCUUUGAUGGCUCAAGAUCACCAAAAAGAGAUUCCCAGGAUGAGGAUGAACAUAUCAGUAAUUUAUUGUUCGAUGCCAGCUUCUUUGAGUUAUUACUGACCACCUUGUACUUUGGCAAGAAACAACUCUCCUUUUACGACUACGACAAUAGUAUGGGAAGAUGAAAUCGAUUGCAGGCAAAUUACCCAACUGGUAAUGAGAGUUUCUUCUGUGGAUUUGGAUGGAGGUGAAACUAUUGAAGAAGAAAGUUCAUGACAUAGACUAUGACUGCUAAGUGCCUACCAUGUAAUGAAUUUGCAUUUCCAAUGUUGCAUUAUUUAUUAUGUUCCAAUUUAGAGGAAAAACAGAAAUGCUUUGUUGCAUUUAAUAACAAUUUACUUGACUCUUAUGUACAUACAUGCAAGAACUAGUUUGAUGAAAUGAAGAAUCAA
Long non-coding RNA from Alnus glutinosa, 1794 nucleotides. RefSeq lists it as uncharacterized. The transcript is spliced from 8 exons. Lineage: Eukaryota; Viridiplantae; Streptophyta; Magnoliopsida; Fagales; Betulaceae. The record is from RefSeq and is a predicted model, not a curated record.